AAUUCUCAAAGUCAAUAUGCUUCUUUUGAAGUGUGUUGGCUUUGGAUGUGGAGGUUGCAGGCUUUAAUGAGUCGGCUCCUCUAAAAUGCAUUAGUGGCUUUGUCGAUCCCCAUUAUUCGGUGUGAUAGUAAUAUCCGCAUCGUAAACUAAUGGCUAGUUCAUGCAAUGGCAAUUUUAAAGCUGCUUUCUAAUCGUCUUCGGACAAUUUGAACC
RNAcentral lists this unclassified non-coding RNA (213 nucleotides) under uncultured Basidiomycota. RNAcentral describes it as "sequence contains ITS2". The record is from RNAcentral. Lineage: Eukaryota; Fungi; Basidiomycota.